Molecule: ribosomal RNA, 729 nt
Filed under: Russula claroflava
Lineage: Eukaryota; Fungi; Basidiomycota; Agaricomycetes; Russulales; Russulaceae
Description: eukaryotic LSU rRNA
Rfam family: 5.8S ribosomal RNA (bases 243-396)
Source: RNAcentral
AAAAGUCGUAACAAGGUUUCCGUAGGUGAACCUGCGGAAGGAUCAUUAUCGUACAACUGAGGUGCAAGGGCUGUCGCUGACCUUCAAGGGUUGUGCACGCCCAAGCCCUCUCACACAUCCAUCUCACCCCCUUUGUGCAUCACCGCGUGGGCCCCCCUUUGCAGGAGGGCUUGCGUUUUCACAUAAAACUUGAUACAGUGUAGAAUGUUUUUUCUUCUUUUGCGGUCACACGCAAUCAAUACAACUUUCAACAACGGAUCUCUUGGCUCUCGCAUCGAUGAAGAACGCAGCGAAAUGCGAUACGUAAUGUGAAUUGCAGAAUUCAGUGAAUCAUCGAAUCUUUGAACGCACCUUGCGCCCCUUGGCAUUCCGAGGGGCACACCCGUUUGAGUGUCGUGAAUUCAUCAAAACCUUUUCUUUGAUCCUUUUCGGUCAGGAAAAGGAUUUUUGGACUUGGAGGUUCUAUGCUUGCUUUCGCUUAUGAAAGUGAGCUCCUCUCAAAUGAAUUAGUGGGGUCUGCUUUGCUGAUCCUUGAUGUGAUAAGAUGUUUCUACAUUUUGGAUUUAGCACUGUCCCUUGGACACCUGCUCCUAACUGUCCCUUGGACAAUGAUGGUGCUUCGGUUGCCGCCAUCUACAUUGGCGGGGGCCGGACCCACCAAAAAAAAAAACCUUGACCUCAAAUCGGUGAGACUACCCGCUGAACUUAAGCAUAUCAAUAAGCGGAGGA